This 213-nucleotide small RNA is filed under the name Parengyodontium album. Lineage: Eukaryota; Fungi; Ascomycota; Sordariomycetes; Hypocreales; Cordycipitaceae. The record is from RNAcentral.
CAUUUCAACCCUCGAGCUCCCCUUACGGGGGGAGCCCGGCGUUGGGGACCCGGCGCUAACAACGCCGGCCCCGAAAUGGAGUGGCGGCCCGUCCGCGGCGACCACUGCGUAGUAACAACCACUCGCACCGGGACCCGGGCGCGGCCACGCCGUAAAACACCCCACCUUCCGAAUGUUGACCUCGAAUCAGGUAGGAAUACUGAAUGAACUUAA